CCUACGGGUGGCAGCAGUGAGGAAUAUUGGUCAAUGGGCGAGAGCCUGAACCAGCCAAGUAGCGUGAAGGAUGACUGCCCUACGGGUUGUAAACUUCUUUUAUAAAGGAAUAAAGUGAGGCACGUGUGCCUUUUUGUAUGUAUUUUAUGAAUAAGGAUCGGCUAACUCCGUGCCAGCAGCCGCGGUAAUACGGAGGAUCCGAGCGUUAUCCGGAUUUAUUGGGUUUAAAGGGAGCGUAGGUGGGUUGUUAAGUCAGUUGUGAAAGUUUGCGGCUCAACCGUAAAAUUGCAAUUGAUACUGGCAGUCUUGAGUACAGUAGAGGUGGGCGGAAUUCGUGGUGUAGCGGUGAAAUGCUUAGAUAUCACGAAGAACUCCGAUUGCGAAGGCAGCCUACUAAACUGCCACUGACAUUGAUGCUCGAAAGUGUGGGUAUCAAACAGGAUUAGAUACCCCUGUAGUC
RNAcentral lists this ribosomal RNA (460 nucleotides) under uncultured bacterium. Its description in RNAcentral is "partial 16S ribosomal RNA". It matches the Rfam family "Bacterial small subunit ribosomal RNA", at positions 338 to 795 of the family's 1533-position model. The record is from RNAcentral.